RNAcentral lists this ribosomal RNA (253 nucleotides) under uncultured bacterium. RNAcentral's name for it is "partial 16S ribosomal RNA". It matches the Rfam family "Bacterial small subunit ribosomal RNA", at positions 524 to 776 of the family's 1533-position model. The record is from RNAcentral.
UACAGAGGGUGCAAGCGUUAAUCGGAAUUACUGGGCGUAAAGCGCACGUAGGCGGGUCGUUAAGUCAGGGGUGAAAUCCCGGAGCUCAACUCCGGAACUGCCUUUGAUACUGGCGACCUUGAGGCUGGAAGAGGUUAGUGGAAUUCCCAGUGUAGAGGUGAAAUUCGUAGAUAUUGGGAAGAACACCAGUGGCGAAGGCGGCUAACUGGUCCAGAUCUGACGCUGAGGUGCGAAAGCGUGGGGAGCAAACAGG